UAGGGAAUUUUCCACAAUGGGCGAAAGCCUGAUGGAGCAAUGCCGCGUGCAGGAUGAAUGUCUUCGGAUUGUAAACUGCUUUUAUGAGGGAAGAUUAUGACGGUACCUCAUGAAUAAGCUUCGGCUAACUCCGUGCCAGCAGCCGCGGUCAUACGGAGGAAGCAAGCGUUAUCCGGAAUUAUUGGGCGUAAAGAGAUGCGUAGGUGGUCUAUUAAGCAAAGUGUGAAAUCUUGUGGCUCAACCAUAAGGC
Molecule: ribosomal RNA, 250 nt
Filed under: uncultured bacterium
Lineage: Bacteria
Description: partial 16S ribosomal RNA
Rfam family: Bacterial small subunit ribosomal RNA
Source: RNAcentral